GACGAACGCUGGCGGCGUGGAUUAGGCAUGCAAGUCGAACGGUAGGAUACCUUCGGGUAUCUGAGAGUGGCAACGGGUGAGUAACACGUAGGUGAUCUACCCUCAAGAUUGGGACAACCCAGGGGAAACUUGGGCUAAUACCGGAUGAAAGCAGCAGUGAUGUUGUUUGAAAGGUGGCGUAAGCUGCCGUUUGGGGAUGAGCCUGCGCUCUAUUAGUUAGUUGGCGGGGUAAAGGCCCACCAAGGCGAUGAUAGAUAGGCGGCCUUAACGGGUGGUCGCCCACACUGGGAUUGAGAUACGGCCCAGACUCCUACGGGAGGCAGCAGUCGAGAAUAGUCUACAAUGGCCGAAAGGCUGAUAGUGCGACGCCGCGUGAACGAAGAAGCCCUUCGGGGUGUAAAGUUCUUUUAUAUGUGAGCAGUGCUUUCUAUGUGAACAGCAUGGGGAGAGAGAUAUUAGCAUAUGAAUAAGCAACGGCUAACUCCGUG
Molecule: ribosomal RNA, 488 nt
Filed under: uncultured bacterium
Lineage: Bacteria
Description: bacterial SSU rRNA
Rfam family: Bacterial small subunit ribosomal RNA
Source: RNAcentral